Molecule: ribosomal RNA, 497 nt
Filed under: uncultured bacterium
Lineage: Bacteria
Description: partial 16S ribosomal RNA
Rfam family: Bacterial small subunit ribosomal RNA
Source: RNAcentral
GAUGAACGCUGGCGGCGUGCCUAAUACAUGCAAGUCGAGCGAACAGACGAGGAGCUUGCUCCUCUGACGUUAGCGGCGGACGGGUGAGUAACACGUGGAUAACCUACCUAUAAGACUGGGAUAACUUCGGGAAACCGGAGCUAAUACCGGAUAAUAUAUUGAACCGCAUGGUUCAAUAGUGAAAGACGGUUUUGCUGUCACUUAUAGAUUGAUCCGCGCCGCAUUAGCUAGUUGGUAAGGUAACGGCUUACCAAGGCGACGAUGCGUAGCCGACCUGAGAGGGUGAUCGGCCACACUGGAACUGAGACACGGUCCAGACUCCUACGGGAGGCAGCAGUAGGGAAUCUUCCGCAAUGGGCGAAAGCCUGACGGAGCAACGCCGCGUGAGUGAUGAAGGUCUUCGGAUCGUAAAACUCUGUUAAUAGGGAAGAACAAAUGUGUAAGUAACUAUGCACGUCUUGACGGUACCUAAUCAGAAAGCCACGGCUAACUACGUG